UACGUAGGUGACAAGCGUUGUCCGGAUUUACUGGGCGUAAAGAGCGCGCAGGCGGUCGGUCAAGUCGAGUGUGAAAGCCCCCGGCUCAACUGGGGAGGGUCAUUCGAUACUGAUCGACUCGAAGGCAGGAGAGGGUAGUGGAAUUCCCGGUGUAGUGGUGAAAUGCGUAGAUAUCGGGAGGAACACCAGUGGCGAAGGCGACUACCUGGCCUGUUCCUGACGCUGAGGCGCGAAAGCGAGGGGAGCAAACGGG
RNAcentral lists this ribosomal RNA (253 nucleotides) under uncultured bacterium. RNAcentral's name for it is "partial 16S ribosomal RNA". It matches the Rfam family "Bacterial small subunit ribosomal RNA", at positions 524 to 776 of the family's 1533-position model. The record is from RNAcentral.